Molecule: long non-coding RNA, 337 nt
Organism: Armigeres subalbatus
Lineage: Eukaryota; Metazoa; Arthropoda; Insecta; Diptera; Culicidae
Exons: 3
Source: RefSeq, a predicted model, not a curated record
ACUGCCAAGAAAGUCGUAGUGCGCGCCGUAUCAGUGAAAAAGUAAAAAGUAAUUUAUUAAAACUAUUAUUUGCAUGUGAUUCAUAUAAAGUUAGGGGGUGUUCUUCUUCAUUAGAUAGUGAAAGUGCAGUUAAAUUAUCCUAUCCACGCCUUAUAGUUUUGCCAUUCGGAAAAAAAACCCAAGCCACCUUCAAUAGGUGAAAUAGAAAUAAGAAGAAAAGGCCCGUGUCUGCUUCCGGGCCUUUUCUUUUCUUUUGUGGCUUCGGGACUGGCCCCGAAGUUAUUUCUACUCCGCAGUGACAUCGGUAAGCCUUUCUAAGGACCAUAGAGAAGCUCGU